RNAcentral lists this ribosomal RNA (410 nucleotides) under uncultured bacterium. RNAcentral's name for it is "bacterial SSU rRNA". It matches the Rfam family "Bacterial small subunit ribosomal RNA", at positions 362 to 770 of the family's 1533-position model. The record is from RNAcentral.
UAUUGGUCAACGGUCGGGAGACUGAACCAGCCAAGCCGCGUGAGGGAUGAAGGUGCAGAGUAUCGUAAACCUCUUUUGUCAGGGAACAAAGGCGGGGACGCGUCCCCGGAUGAGUGUACCUGAAGAAAAAGCAUCGGCUAACUCCCUGCCAGCAGCCGCGGUAAUACGGAGGAUGCGAGCGUUAUCCGGAUUUAUUGGGUUUAAGGGGGGCGCAGGCGGUCUGUUAAGUCAGCGGUCAAAGCCCGGGGCUCAACCCGGGCCCGCCGUUGAAACUGGCAGUCUCGAGUUGGAGAGAAGUAUGCGGAAUGCGCGGUGUAGCGGUGAAAUGCAUAGAUAUCGCGCAGAACUCCGACUGCGAAGGCAGCAUGCCGGCUCCACACUGACGCUGAGGCACGAAAGCGUGGGUAUCG